This 498-nucleotide ribosomal RNA is filed under the name uncultured bacterium. RNAcentral describes it as "bacterial SSU rRNA". It matches the Rfam family "Bacterial small subunit ribosomal RNA", at positions 791 to 1285 of the family's 1533-position model. The record is from RNAcentral.
UAGUCCACGCCGUAAACGUUGGUCACUAGGUGUAGGAGGUGUCGACCCCUUCUGUGCCGUAGUUAACGCGUUAAGUGACCCGCCUGGGAAGUACGGUCGCAAGACUAAAACUCAAAGGAAUUGACGGGGGCCCGCACAAGCAGUGGAACAUGUGGUUUAAUUCGACGAUACGCGAAAAACCUUACCUGGGCUUGACAUCCUGAGAAUCUUUUAGAGAUAAGAGAGUGCCCUUUUGGGAAUUCAGUGACAGGUGCUGCAUGGUUGUCGUCAGCUCGUGUCGUGAGAUGUUGGGUUAAGUCCCGCGACGAGCGCAACCCUUAUCGUGUGUUACCAGCGAGUAAUGUCGGGGACUCACACGAGACUGUCUGUGGAAAGCAGGAGGAAGGUGGGGAUGACGUCAAAUCAUCAUGGCCCUUAUGUCCAGGGCUACACACAUGUUACAAUGGCAUGUACAGAGGGUAGCGAAGCCGCAAGGUGAAGCCAAUCUCACAAAGCAUG